GGGCCCGCACAAGCGGUGGAGCAUGUGGUUUAAUUCGAUGAUACGCGAGGAACCUUACCAGGGCUUAAAUGCAGAACGACCGGGAUGGAAACAUCCCUUUCUUCGGACGGUCUGCAAGGUGCUGCAUGGUUGUCGUCAGCUCGUGCUGUGAAGUGUCGGGUUAAGUCCCAUAACGAGCGCAACCCCUAUUUCUAGUUGCCAGCGGUUCGGCCGGGGACUCUAGAGAAACUGCCAGCGUAAGCUGUGAGGAAGGUGGGGAUGACGUCAAAUCAUCACGGCCCUUACGUCCUGGGCCACACACGUGCUACAAUGGUGGGGACAACGAGUCGCUAACCCGCGAGGGUGAGCUAAUCUUCAAACCCCAUCUCAGUUCGGAUCGGAGUCUGCAACUCGACUCCGUGAAGUUGGAAUCGCUAGUAAUCGCGUAUC
This 429-nucleotide ribosomal RNA is filed under the name uncultured bacterium. RNAcentral's name for it is "bacterial SSU rRNA". It matches the Rfam family "Bacterial small subunit ribosomal RNA", at positions 917 to 1350 of the family's 1533-position model. The record is from RNAcentral.